UGGAGUAGGGAGAAUCUGCAGCCAAGCCCCUUUGGGGGUGCAGUUCACAGGCCAAAUGGUAGUGGGCACAAUAGUGCUUAAGAUAUGGUCGAAUCCCGAUUGAAAAGUUGGGUACAAGUACUCUGAUACAGUAUAAUGCAAAUGUUCCGUAGGUGAACCUGCGGAAGGAUCAUUAAUGAAUUAAAGUCGGUCUUCUGUGCUGGUGGCAACACAAGUGCACGUUGAUCGCAAAUCCACACACCUGUGCACCUUUGACUUUGGGAUCUGCUUGUCUGACUUGCAGCUGACUUGGCUUUGUGCCUGUCUGGGUCCCAGAGUAAUUUUUACACACUCUGAAUGUAAUGGAAUGUAUCUGUGCAUAAUGCGCAAAAAUACAACUUUCAACAACGGAUCUCUUGGCUCUCGCACCGAUGAAGAACGCAGCGAAAUGCGAUAAGUAAUGUGAAUUGCAGAAUUCAGUGAAUCAUCGAAUCUUUGAACGCACCUUGCACCCUUUGGUAAUCUGAAGGGUACACCCGUUUGAGUGUCAUUGUAAUCUCACUCCACCGGCUUUUUGCUGAUGGAUGUGGACCUGGACUCUGUUGUGUUACUACAACUGGUCUGAAAUGCAUGAGUGCAUCCUGCUGUUGCUGUGUUUUCAGUGUGAUAAGCAUCUUCACUGGACCAAGUUCCCUUUGGGACAUGCAUGCAUUGUGGGCUCUGUGCUGGCAAACUGUCUUUGGACAACCUUGACAAUUUGACCUCAGAUCGGGUGGGACUACCCGCUGAACUUAAGCAUAUCAAUAAGCGGAGGAAAAGAAACUAACAAGGAUUCCCCUAGUAACGGCGAGUGAAGAGGGAAAAGCUCAAAUUUUGAAUCUGGUGUCUUUGGCGCCCGAGUUGUAAUCUAGAGAAGUGUUUUCUGCCUCGGACCACACAUAAAUUCCCUGGAAUGGGGUGUCAUAGAGGGUGAGAAUCCCGUUUGUGGUGUGGACUACCUUGGCUCUGUGAUACACUCUCAACGAGUCGAGUUGUUUGGGAAUGCAGCUCAAAAUGGGUGGUAAAUUCCAUCUAAAGCUAAAUACUGGCGAGAGACCGAUAGCGAACAAGUACCGUGAGGGAAAGAUGAAAAGCACUUUGGAAAGAGAGUGAAACAGUACGUGAAAUUGUUGAAAGGGAAGCGUUUGAAGUCAGUCACAUUGGUUGGAAUUCAGCCUGGCUUCUGCCUGGUGUACUUUCUGGCAAAUGGGUCAGCAUCAAUUUUGAUCGAGGGAGAAAGACUUGAGGAAUGUAGCUGUCUUUGGGCAGUGUUAUAGCCUCUUGUUGUAUGUCUCGGUUGGGAUUGAGGAUCGCAGCACGCCCUAUGGCCGGGGUUCGCGCCCUC
Molecule: ribosomal RNA, 1363 nt
Filed under: uncultured Sebacina
Lineage: Eukaryota; Fungi; Basidiomycota; Agaricomycetes; Sebacinales; Sebacinaceae
Description: eukaryotic LSU rRNA
Rfam family: Eukaryotic large subunit ribosomal RNA (bases 738-1363)
Source: RNAcentral